Molecule: non-coding RNA, 26 nt
Filed under: Mus musculus (house mouse)
Lineage: Eukaryota; Metazoa; Chordata; Mammalia; Rodentia; Muridae
Also listed under: 1 other name
Source: RNAcentral
UCGUUUGGGAAAUGAAGGUAUCUGGU